RNAcentral lists this ribosomal RNA (430 nucleotides) under uncultured bacterium. Its description in RNAcentral is "bacterial SSU rRNA". It matches the Rfam family "Bacterial small subunit ribosomal RNA", at positions 355 to 776 of the family's 1533-position model. The record is from RNAcentral.
UGGGGAAUAUUGCGCAAUGGACGAAAGUCUGACGCAGCAACGCCGCGUGGGUGAUGAAGGCCUUCGGGUUGUAAAGCCCUGUCGACAGGGAAAAAUGUCCUGCAUGCUAAUAUCAUGCAGGAGUGAUGGUACCUGUAAAGGAAGCACCGGCUAACUCCGUGCCAGCAGCCGCGGUAAAACGGAGGGUGCAAGCGUUGUUCGGAAUUACUGGGCGUAAAGCGCGUGCAGGUGGCUAUUUAAGUCUUGUGUGAAAUCCCUCGGCUCAACCGAGGAACUGCGCGAGAUACUGGAUAGCUUGAAUACGGGAGAAGAGGGCGGAAUUCCCAGUGUAGAGGUGAAAUUCGUAGAUAUUGGGAGGAACACCGGCGGCGAAAGCGGCUCUCUAGACCGAUAUUGACGCUCAUACGCGAGAGCGUGGGUAGCAAACAGG